CAACGGCGCCUGAACACGCCGUCAUCUGGCGGAUGGCCUGUCCCCCGCCGAAGCCGGAUGAAGGACAAAGGCCUAUCCCCCCUCUCCGGGCCUUUGUCCCAGAUUGACAAGACCGCCACGGCUCCGCCUCCGCCGUGGCGGUCUUUG
This 147-nucleotide small RNA is filed under the name Pararhizobium antarcticum. Its description in RNAcentral is "Alphaproteobacterial sRNA ar7". It matches the Rfam family "Alphaproteobacterial sRNA ar7". Lineage: Bacteria; Pseudomonadati; Pseudomonadota; Alphaproteobacteria; Hyphomicrobiales; Rhizobiaceae. The record is from Rfam by way of RNAcentral.